RNAcentral lists this ribosomal RNA (208 nucleotides) under uncultured bacterium. RNAcentral's name for it is "partial 16S ribosomal RNA". It matches the Rfam family "Bacterial small subunit ribosomal RNA", at positions 568 to 774 of the family's 1533-position model. The record is from RNAcentral.
CGCGUAGGCGGUCUGUUAAGUGUGAAGUGAAAUCUCCAGCGCUCAACGCGGAAACGGCUUUACAUACUGGCAGACUAGAGGGACGAAGAGGUGAGUGGAAUUCCUGGUGUAACGGUGAAAUGUGUUGAUAUCAGGAGGAACACCGAUGGCGAAGGCAGCUCACUGGUCGUUUCCUGACGCUGAGGCGCGAAAGCGUGGGUAGCAAACA